This is a long non-coding RNA of Falco peregrinus (peregrine falcon), 1997 nucleotides long. RefSeq lists it as uncharacterized. The record is from RefSeq and is a predicted model, not a curated record. The transcript has 4 exons. Lineage: Eukaryota; Metazoa; Chordata; Aves; Falconiformes; Falconidae.
GUUGAUACUGGUUAACAGGAGAAGCACCAGUGUGAUUUUUUUUUGCGUUUCUUUGAUGCAGCAUGAUUGCCUGAAUCACAUUAAUGAUGGAUGCAACCCUUCACCCCAUCCUGAAGCAGCAGGAUGAGGAGAGUGUUCGCACUCUUGGGGCUGAGCCAGCCGAUGACUCAAACCUGAGAAGGCUUACCGAGAUGCAAGAACCCAUGGGGAUGAUGACGGCCUCACAGGCAGAACAACCUUCCGCUUUUAAAUGAGAACAUUAAAGCUGUCUGCAGCAGCUGCUCUGAUUUUGGAUUACAGAUUGCCUCAUCCUCAAGAACGAAAGGGGAAGGGUUGCUGAAGCGUGCCAGCACAGCCAGGAGAGGACCAGGCCAGGUUGGGGACAGGGCUUGCCUUCGCCUGGAGCAUCAGCAUCUGCGCAGGGGCGAGCUCCUGACACAGCCCGGGUGACGGAAGCCUGAGUGCUGGUUUUCUUCAGCUGACUUCCACUAGAUACGCACGAGGGGCUCGGCGGUGUGUUAGCGCUUCAUUUCCCAUCUGGCUGCAUCUUUCAGCUUCAGCAAAGGAAAGGCAAGGGGCACUGAGCAUGGAGGCUGCUUCAGGAACCCAAUGGCUGGAUGCCGAAUCCCAGUUCCCAGGGUGGAGAGGCGGCCGCUGUCAUAACAGAAGCUACUUAUUACUGUCCUUGCUGAGCUCACCCCGUGAAAGCAACUUUCUGACUGAAAGCCCUUGGAGUCUCCUUUGGGGAAUUCGGCUCCAGGGUUACAGUACUGAUACUGGGAGUCCCAAGUGGAACCGGUAAAUGCCCCAUUCAUGGAAGAAAAGCAUCCAAAAAAAAACAAAAAAAAAAAAAAAAAAGAGGUAAGUCAGAACAAAACCCCCAAAUCAUUGCCAAGGGUGGGAUUCCCAAAAAUCCCGUGCUGUGAGGAGCAGCUAUUCCCCAUGGAUAUAGAGAAUUAGCUACAGCCAAGUGCGGCUGGUAUACUGAGGAGCAGGCUGGGCGAUGUGGGGAGCUUGUGGGACCCCCACCCCCAUAGCCCUGUGUGCGUGUGCAGGGUGGAAAGGUGUUUUUGUUGACUGCAUCAGGCUGUUUUUGGUGACUUCUAGCCUCGUGAUGUGCUUUUCCUAUUGCACGGAGUGAGCUGCAGGCAGCCUCCAGAACACCGUGAAGUUUGGCAUCCUGUGGCAGAUGUUUUUUGUUUGGUGAGGACAAGGGGAGGAGGAACCAAAAACCCACCCAGGAGGAUACAGAAGGGACAGAAAGUGGGACCAAUGCCCAGAAAGAUGUGGCAGAAUACAUAUUGCCUGUGACAGUGCAGCAGCAGCAGCAGCAACAGCAGCUCAGAAACCACGCAACACCUUUCUCUUUUAAAAAUGUCAUUUAAUCCAUCAAUUCCACAGCAUUGCCAUCAUACACACCAGCACGACGCCUCAGUACAUGGGACACAGAGCCAAGGAGAUGCAGUUACCCAGAAACACGCUUUUUUCUUAAAAAAAAUCCAACCCCCUAAGGAUGUCAGGGGGGAAACCAGCGGUAGGUGACCGGAAUAACUAGUUCUCUUCAGCAAGUUAAAGGCACUUAGCAAGGGAACGAAACUCCAGCCUGACCAGGCUGCCUCACCCUGGUGCCCCACAAGCUGGACCCUGGCAGGGGUGAUGCCGGGGAUGAUGCUGGGGGCGGCUGUGGAGGGCAUGGGGUUCCCCAGGAGCACCAGGGGGCUUUUUUUUUUUUUUUUUUUUUUAAAGCUGAGAGCAAAUCUUUUCUAUUUGGGGCUUUUGCUGUUCAUGCUUUAAAUCCAGCAGCAGGCACCUCCUUGCUGACACCUGAACAGCCACUUCUGAUGGAGGCACCAACUCUGUGCCCUGUGGGGAUGAUGCUGGCCUCAGAGCACUGCAAAUGCAUUUUACAGAGCAGAAAUAUAAAACCUGGCAGGUCUCCCCAUGUGCAGGCAACAGCAUUAAGCCAACCAAGAGCUACAGGGAAACAAACACCCCAA